RNAcentral lists this ribosomal RNA (484 nucleotides) under uncultured bacterium. Its description in RNAcentral is "partial 16S ribosomal RNA". It matches the Rfam family "Bacterial small subunit ribosomal RNA", at positions 30 to 507 of the family's 1533-position model. The record is from RNAcentral.
AUUGAACGCUGGCGGCAGGCCUAACACAUGCAAGUCGAGCGGAUGAAGGGAGCUUGCUCCUGGAUUCAGCGGCGGACGGGUGAGUAAUGCCUAGGAAUCUGCCUGGUCGUGGGGGAUAACGUCCGGAAACGGGCGCUAAUACCGCAUACGUCCUGAGGGAGAAAGUGGGGGAUCUUCGGACCUCACGCUAUCAGAUGAGCCUAGGUCGGAUUAGCUAGUUGGUGGGGUAAAGGCCUACCAAGGCGACGAUCCGUAACUGGUCUGAGAGGAUGAUCAGUCACACUGGAACUGAGACACGGUCCAGACUCCUACGGGAGGCAGCAGUGGGGAAUAUUGGACAAUGGGCGAAAGCCUGAUCCAGCCAUGCCGCGUGUGUGAAGAAGGUCUUCGGAUUGUAAAGCACCUUAAGUUGGGAGGAAGGGCAGUAAGUUAAUACCUUGCUGUUUUGACGUUACCAACAGAAUAAGCACCGGCUAACUUCGUG